UUGUUUUAAAUGUAGGUCAGAUUUGGGCGUUGAAAAAUCUCACAAACAUACCCAAACUGUUAUCUUGUAAUCAGUGAUAUUUUAGGGUUCUAUUACUUAAUAAACUUUCGCCAAGGGAAUUUCAUUUUACACGACUUAAUUAGCUUGGCGGGGCUAGGCGUGGCGGAUAUCGUCGUAUCCGGGUAUAUCCGCUUAUAUCCGAGCCGAGGGGCGGAUGAACCGGAUCACCAACAGGUGGGGGAUGAGCCUCGAUAGAUCCGCCCACUCACCACGUGCGUCCAAUUCGGAUUUGGAUUUGUUUUGGAUUUUCAAACAAAGUUCUGAGCGCUAUGUGGACCUCUCUACGUGAAACUGAGAGUACUCGAGUAAGAUAAGAAGUUUUCGUAAGAAUAAAAAAUAAUUAGAGCAUCGUCGGAGUAUAACUACAUUGAGCUGAAGAAGCCAAAAGAAUAAUGAAAUUAUUUCACGUAGAACGAACGAAGAACCUUGAAUUUCAAGUAAAAAAAGCAUAAAUAUAAUUAUUGCCCCAAAUUCAAUGUAAAAUUUUCAUAUAUCAUACAAAAACAUACAAAAAAAAAAGAAA
This is a long non-coding RNA of Bombyx mori (domestic silkworm), 583 nucleotides long. RefSeq lists it as uncharacterized. The record is from RefSeq and is a predicted model, not a curated record. The transcript is spliced from 4 exons. Lineage: Eukaryota; Metazoa; Arthropoda; Insecta; Lepidoptera; Bombycidae.